UAGAAGGCCACCUGGUUGUAACAUCUGUCACCCCACAGAUCACCGGGACUGACUCCAGGCUAAUCUGGCUGGCUCAGUGUGUGCCUCCUUCAGCGCCCACCCGCUCCACGUGAGUGCCUCAUGCUCAGCCAGAGAGGAAGGCCUUCCCAUCAAUAGCGAAGGGCCACUCCUCAGUGGAGGGUAUAAAAGUAGCCAUGCUCCCUUCCAGAAUCCCCAGUCAGCUUGGCCUUAGCAUCUGAAACUGUGGGCCACAGUCCCAUCGGAGGGUUGCGUAACCUUGUGAAAUUUUGUUUUAAAAUAAAUUUAUGAUUU
This 312-nucleotide small nuclear RNA is filed under the name Sorex araneus (European shrew). RNAcentral describes it as "7SK RNA (ENSSARG00000018959.1)". The stretch from base 2 to 261 matches the Rfam family "7SK RNA". Rfam says of the family: 7SK was discovered as an abundant small nuclear RNA in the mid-70s but a possible function has only recently been suggested. Two independent studies have found that 7SK RNA binds the CDK9/cyclin T complex (known as elongation factor P-TEFb). The record is from RNAcentral. Lineage: Eukaryota; Metazoa; Chordata; Mammalia; Eulipotyphla; Soricidae.